This 1046-nucleotide ribosomal RNA is filed under the name 'Dalbulus elimatus' phytoplasma. RNAcentral's name for it is "bacterial SSU rRNA". It matches the Rfam family "Bacterial small subunit ribosomal RNA", at positions 271 to 1325 of the family's 1533-position model. The record is from RNAcentral. Lineage: Bacteria; Bacillati; Mycoplasmatota; Mollicutes; Acholeplasmatales; Acholeplasmataceae.
AGACUAUGAUGUGUAGCCGGGCUGAGAGGUUGAACGGCCACAUUGGGACUGAGACACGGCCCAAACUCCUACGGGAGGCAGCAGUAGGGAAUUUUCGGCAAUGGAGGAAACUCUGACCGAGCAACGCCGCGUGAACGAUGAAGUAUUUCGGUACGUAAAGUUCUUUUAUUAGGGAAGAAUAAAUGAUGGAAAAAUCAUUCUGACGGUACCUAAUGAAUAAGCCCCGGCUAACUAUGUGCCAGCAGCCGCGGUAAUACAUAGGGGGCAAGCGUUAUCCGGAAUUAUUGGGCGUAAAGGGUGCGUAGGCGGUUAAAUAAGUUUAUGGUCUAAGUGCAAUGCUCAACAUUGUGAUGCUAUAAAAACUGUUUAGCUAGAGUAAGAUAGAGGCAAGUGGAAUUCCAUGUGUAGUGGUAAAAUGCGUAAAUAUAUGGAGGAACACCAGUAGCGAAGGCGGCUUGCUGGGUCUUUACUGACGCUGAGGCACGAAAGCGUGGGGAGCAAACAGGAUUAGAUACCCUGGUAGUCCACGCCGUAAACGAUGAGUACUAAACGUUGGGUAAAACCAGUGUUGAAGUUAACACAUUAAGUACUCCGCCUGAGUAGUACGUACGCAAGUAUGAAACUUAAAGGAAUUGACGGGACUCCGCACAAGCGGUGGAUCAUGUUGUUUAAUUCGAAGGUACCCGAAAAACCUCACCAGGUCUUGACAUGCUUCUGCAAAGCUGUAGAAACACAGUGGAGGUUAUCAGUUGCACAGGUGGUGCAUGGUUGUCGUCAGCUCGUGUCGUGAGAUGUUGGGUUAAGUCCCGCAACGAGCGCAACCCUUAUUGUUAGUUACCAGCACGUAAUGGUGGGGACUUUAGCAAGACUGCCAGUGAUAAAUUGGAGGAAGGUGGGGACGACGUCAAAUCAUCAUGCCCCUUAUGACCUGGGCUACAAACGUGAUACAAUGGCUGUUACAAAGGGUAGCUGAAGCGCAAGUUUUUGGCGAAUCUCAAAAAAACAGUCUCAGUUCGGAUUGAAGUCUGCAACUCGACUUCAUGAAG